UUCAACUGGAGUUCCGAAUAUUUACAUUUGGAUGCGCACGCAAGCACGCGCACCUCUUUUUAACAUCCGUUUAGAAAAAUUUGAAAAUCAUCCUCGAGAAAUAAUCGCACCAGACUGAUGAACAAAUAGUGAACAACUGCGUCUAAGGAAUAUUAAGAAGAUAUAAGACUUUUCUGUAUAAACCUCUUGAUAUAAGCAUGCUGUUCUAGUCUGCCACAAAGAGACACCAGAAUCCAAAAUAUCCGAGCAGUGAUCAGGACAUUUGAAGUGUGCCCCACAGAGAGCAGAAAGAGUUUCUAGGCCAGAAGAAUAAAUCAUUAAAACAAAAUAAAUUUUUCAUUUUAAAAACCUCUUUUUUUUUAUUUCUAUAGUUAAUUUAGUGCCAGUAAAAAAAUGGCAGUGAAAUUUAGAAAUACGUUAUUUGGUGCAUCUUUUUUUUCUCCGGUUUACUCAAUUGUAUCGGGUGUAUGGAUAAUGAUUGAAUGAGUAAACAGCUUGGUGAUGGUAUGGUUUGUUCCAAAUGCCUUAAAGAUAAAUAAUUUAAAAAAUCAUACGGUAUACCCUCAAAAAGUCAAAUUUCAGAUCAACAAGUAUCAAUAAAAAUGAAAAAAAGACAAUAAAAAAGAAGUAAAUACAUGAAAUAUCGGAUUACAAAAACUUAAAAUGAGAACAUCUUUUUUUAUGGCAUUUUGUGUCACUGUGUCAAAUUUGCUGCAUUUACUUAAUUUUGUAUAAGUUGGAAAACUUGAUCAACCAGAAUCAAACCAGUGUGCUGUAGUAAGUUUUUCUUUUUUCCUUUGCUUUGAAAAAUUGAUGUGCUAGAAAAGUAAGCUUUGUUAA
This is a long non-coding RNA of Mytilus trossulus (common blue mussel), 840 nucleotides long. RefSeq lists it as uncharacterized. NCBI's taxonomy places the organism in Eukaryota, Metazoa, Mollusca, Bivalvia, Mytilida, Mytilidae. The record is from RefSeq and is a predicted model, not a curated record. The transcript is spliced from 3 exons.